Cinara cedri is the source of this 225-nucleotide non-coding RNA. NCBI's taxonomy places the organism in Eukaryota, Metazoa, Arthropoda, Insecta, Hemiptera, Aphididae. The record is from the annotation of a GenBank genome assembly.
AAGGCAUAAGAGACAUCACACACGUACAUAGGUUAGGUUAGGUUAGCAAAAUUAGCCAAAUCGGCCCAGCCGUUCUCAAUUGUUAUUGGCACGCGAGUGCCACGGAAACCAAUAAUAAAAAAUAACCACAUAGAGAGUAUAUUAUCUCUCCAUGGCAAAAUAAUAAUUGUUGAAUAUCGUGCGUGUUAGUAUACUUUGACUUAAGAGGCCAUAACUCCGGAACCA